This 484-nucleotide ribosomal RNA is filed under the name uncultured bacterium. RNAcentral describes it as "partial 16S ribosomal RNA". It matches the Rfam family "Bacterial small subunit ribosomal RNA", at positions 28 to 507 of the family's 1533-position model. The record is from RNAcentral.
AUUGAACGCUGGCGGCAUGCUUUACACAUGCAAGUCGAACGGCAGCGCGGGCUUCGGCCUGGCGGCGAGUGGCGAACGGGUGAGUAAUGCAUCGGAACGUGCCCAGUAGUGGGGGAUAGCACGGCGAAAGCCGGAUUAAUACCGCAUACGACCUGAGGGUGAAAGCGGGGGACCGAAAGGCCUCGCGCUAUUGGAGCGGCCGAUGUCGGAUUAGCUAGUUGGUGGGGUAAAGGCUUACCAAGGCGGCGAUCCGUAGCUGGUCUGAGAGGACGACCAGCCACACUGGGACUGGGACACGGCCCAGACUCCUACGGGAGGCAGCAGUGGGGAAUUUUGGACAAUGGGGGCAACCCUGGUCCAGCCAUGCCGCGUGCGGGAAGAAGGCCUUCGGGUUGUAAACCGCUUUUGUUCGGGAAGAAAUCCUCUGGGCUAAUACCCCGGGGGGAUGACGGUACCGGAAGAAUAAGCACCGGCUAACUACGUG